AUGUCCCCUUGGUGACACGAGGUCAUGAAGGGUGCUCAUGAUCUCCAUGGUUCCAUCAGGUCCCACAGAGUCAUAAUGGUCUCUGGGUUUCAUGAAGCCCUGCUGUGUCACCACAGCCCCUUGGUUCCAUGGGCUCCAGUGGUGCCACAAUGAUCCCCUUGGUUUCGUGAGGUCCCCACAGUGUCCCAGUGAUCUCCAUGGGAAGGAAAGAACCGACCCCCAGUGUUGCAGGGGCAGUCACCAGAGGCCAAGGCUUGAUGGUACUGGCAGAUUUUGCCUGGAAGCAACCCUUGGAUAUACAGAAUUUUAGAGGUGGAAUCCCAGUUUCAGACAUGGACACCUGGGGGAGAAGCACAGUUGUUUUCCAUAGGAAGGAAAGCACAGAACAGAGGUGUUUCCAGGGCAGAUGAAAGGCAGCCAUCAGAGGCCUAGGACAGCCAGACCUCUCUGUCCUGGUAGCUUUUGUCUGAAAGCAACCCUUGGAUAUAGCAAAUUUGGGAGGUGGAAUCCAAAUUUAGGCCAUUUCUGUGUAGAUAAGAAGGAUGGUUCUUUUCCAUGGGAAGGAAAGCACAGAGCCCAAGAGUUUCAAAGGCAGAAGAGGAGAGAGGUGGCUCUCGGGAGGCCAAGCCAGCCAGACCUGUUUGUCCUGGCAGCUUUUGUCAUGGAGGAAUCCUUGGAUAUAUGGAAUUUGGGAGGAAGAAUCUCAAUUUUGUGCACAGGCACCUUGAGAAGAAGGAUGGUACUUUUCCAUUGGAAGGAAAUCACCAACCCAAUGUGUUUGGUAAGCAGGUGAGAGGCAGCCCCCAAGAGGCCAAGGGCAGCCAGACCUGUCUGUCCUGGCAUCUUUCAUUGGGGGAAAAUCCUUGGAUGUAUGGAGCUCUUGAGAUGGAAUCCCAGAUUUGACCAUGGGCACCUGGUCAAGAUGAAUGGGGGUUUUUUUGUACUGGAAAAAAAGUGUGAAGUCCAAGUGUUCUGGAAGAAGAUGAGAUGUGGCCACCCUUAGGCCAAGCCAGUCAGACCUGUCUCUGCUGGCACCUUUUGUCUAGGGGCUACCCUUGGCCAUAGGGCACUUUGGAUGUGGAAUCUCAAUUUUGGCCGUGGGCACCUGGACAGGAAGAAGAGUUCUUUUCAUUACGAAGGAAAGCACAAAGCCCCAGUGUUUUAGAGGCAGAUGAGUAGCAGCCCUCAGGAAGCCAAGGCCAGCCACACUUGUCAGUCCUGGCAGCUUUUGUCUGGGAGUUAUCCUUGGAUAUAGGGAAUGCUGGAGGCAGAUGCCCAAUUUUAGCCAUGGGUGCCUGGUCGAGAUGGAUUUUUUUCCCAUAAGAAAAAAAAUCAUAUGGUCCCAGUGUUUCAAAGUCAGAUGAGAGGUGGUUCCUGGAUGGCCAAGGCAGCCAGAGCUGUCACUCCUGGCAGAUUUCAUCUGGGAACAAUCUUUGCAUAUAAGGAAAUUUGGAGGAGGAAUCCCAGUUUUGACAAUGGGCCCCUGGAGGACAAGGACAGUUCUCUCCCAUAGGAAGGAAAGCCCAGAGCCCCAGUGCUUCAGGGACAGAUGAGAAAGCAGCCCUCGACAUGCCAAGGGCAGACAUCUGCUGAUAACAGGCUAUUGAAUGUCACUGCAUGACUGAUAAGAACUACAGCAUCCCAUUGUGAGAUGAUCUGCCCAGAGGGGAGAACCAAGCAUUCCUACCAGAUAUAAUCUUAAAAAUUCUGGAACACCAACAUGGCUUUCUCCACUGGAUUUCCCAGAGGAACAGCUGCUGCCUCUUCCACUGGAUCUUCAGAGGAAGACUACACCUUUCUACAGGAUCCCUGCUCAAACAGAACCGCACCUGACACUCCAGGAGGAGUGCAGCCAUAUUUCCAAUUGGACUGCUACCAACACCGUGACCAGCAGGGUGUCAGGUUGUGUUCUGACUCUGUCAGUGUUGUCUUGCUUUACUGCAUUGUUUAUUUUAUCUUUUUAUUUGUUUCCCUAAUAAAGAACUGUUAUUCCUGCUCCCAUA
Molecule: long non-coding RNA, 2003 nt
Organism: Passer domesticus (house sparrow)
Lineage: Eukaryota; Metazoa; Chordata; Aves; Passeriformes; Passeridae
Exons: 2
Source: RefSeq, a predicted model, not a curated record